Molecule: ribosomal RNA, 2904 nt
Filed under: Escherichia coli
Lineage: Bacteria; Pseudomonadati; Pseudomonadota; Gammaproteobacteria; Enterobacterales; Enterobacteriaceae
Description: 23S ribosomal RNA
Rfam family: Bacterial large subunit ribosomal RNA
Source: RNAcentral
GGUUAAGCGACUAAGCGUACACGGUGGAUGCCCUGGCAGUCAGAGGCGAUGAAGGACGUGCUAAUCUGCGAUAAGCGUCGGUAAGGUGAUAUGAACCGUUAUAACCGGCGAUUUCCGAAUGGGGAAACCCAGUGUGUUUCGACACACUAUCAUUAACUGAAUCCAUAGGUUAAUGAGGCGAACCGGGGGAACUGAAACAUCUAAGUACCCCGAGGAAAAGAAAUCAACCGAGAUUCCCCCAGUAGCGGCGAGCGAACGGGGAGCAGCCCAGAGCCUGAAUCAGUGUGUGUGUUAGUGGAAGCGUCUGGAAAGGCGCGCGAUACAGGGUGACAGCCCCGUACACAAAAAUGCACAUGCUGUGAGCUCGAUGAGUAGGGCGGGACACGUGGUAUCCUGUCUGAAUAUGGGGGGACCAUCCUCCAAGGCUAAAUACUCCUGACUGACCGAUAGUGAACCAGUACCGUGAGGGAAAGGCGAAAAGAACCCCGGCGAGGGGAGUGAAAAAGAACCUGAAACCGUGUACGUACAAGCAGUGGGAGCACGCUUAGGCGUGUGACUGCGUACCUUUUGUAUAAUGGGUCAGCGACUUAUAUUCUGUAGCAAGGUUAACCGAAUAGGGGAGCCGAAGGGAAACCGAGUCUUAACUGGGCGUUAAGUUGCAGGGUAUAGACCCGAAACCCGGUGAUCUAGCCAUGGGCAGGUUGAAGGUUGGGUAACACUAACUGGAGGACCGAACCGACUAAUGUUGAAAAAUUAGCGGAUGACUUGUGGCUGGGGGUGAAAGGCCAAUCAAACCGGGAGAUAGCUGGUUCUCCCCGAAAGCUAUUUAGGUAGCGCCUCGUGAAUUCAUCUCCGGGGGUAGAGCACUGUUUCGGCAAGGGGGUCAUCCCGACUUACCAACCCGAUGCAAACUGCGAAUACCGGAGAAUGUUAUCACGGGAGACACACGGCGGGUGCUAACGUCCGUCGUGAAGAGGGAAACAACCCAGACCGCCAGCUAAGGUCCCAAAGUCAUGGUUAAGUGGGAAACGAUGUGGGAAGGCCCAGACAGCCAGGAUGUUGGCUUAGAAGCAGCCAUCAUUUAAAGAAAGCGUAAUAGCUCACUGGUCGAGUCGGCCUGCGCGGAAGAUGUAACGGGGCUAAACCAUGCACCGAAGCUGCGGCAGCGACGCUUAUGCGUUGUUGGGUAGGGGAGCGUUCUGUAAGCCUGUGAAGGUGUACUGUGAGGUAUGCUGGAGGUAUCAGAAGUGCGAAUGCUGACAUAAGUAACGAUAAAGCGGGUGAAAAGCCCGCUCGCCGGAAGACCAAGGGUUCCUGUCCAACGUUAAUCGGGGCAGGGUGAGUCGACCCCUAAGGCGAGGCCGAAAGGCGUAGUCGAUGGGAAACAGGUUAAUAUUCCUGUACUUGGUGUUACUGCGAAGGGGGGACGGAGAAGGCUAUGUUGGCCGGGCGACGGUUGUCCCGGUUUAAGCGUGUAGGCUGGUUUUCCAGGCAAAUCCGGAAAAUCAAGGCUGAGGCGUGAUGACGAGGCACUACGGUGCUGAAGCAACAAAUGCCCUGCUUCCAGGAAAAGCCUCUAAGCAUCAGGUAACAUCAAAUCGUACCCCAAACCGACACAGGUGGUCAGGUAGAGAAUACCAAGGCGCUUGAGAGAACUCGGGUGAAGGAACUAGGCAAAAUGGUGCCGUAACUUCGGGAGAAGGCACGCUGAUAUGUAGGUGAAGUCCCUUGCGGAUGGAGCUGAAAUCAGUCGAAGAUACCAGCUGGCUGCAACUGUUUAUUAAAAACACAGCACUGUGCAAACACGAAAGUGGACGUAUACGGUGUGACGCCUGCCCGGUGCCGGAAGGUUAAUUGAUGGGGUUAGCGCAAGCGAAGCUCUUGAUCGAAGCCCCGGUAAACGGCGGCCGUAACUAUAACGGUCCUAAGGUAGCGAAAUUCCUUGUCGGGUAAGUUCCGACCUGCACGAAUGGCGUAAUGAUGGCCAGGCUGUCUCCACCCGAGACUCAGUGAAAUUGAACUCGCUGUGAAGAUGCAGUGUACCCGCGGCAAGACGGAAAGACCCCGUGAACCUUUACUAUAGCUUGACACUGAACAUUGAGCCUUGAUGUGUAGGAUAGGUGGGAGGCUUUGAAGUGUGGACGCCAGUCUGCAUGGAGCCGACCUUGAAAUACCACCCUUUAAUGUUUGAUGUUCUAACGUUGACCCGUAAUCCGGGUUGCGGACAGUGUCUGGUGGGUAGUUUGACUGGGGCGGUCUCCUCCUAAAGAGUAACGGAGGAGCACGAAGGUUGGCUAAUCCUGGUCGGACAUCAGGAGGUUAGUGCAAUGGCAUAAGCCAGCUUGACUGCGAGCGUGACGGCGCGAGCAGGUGCGAAAGCAGGUCAUAGUGAUCCGGUGGUUCUGAAUGGAAGGGCCAUCGCUCAACGGAUAAAAGGUACUCCGGGGAUAACAGGCUGAUACCGCCCAAGAGUUCAUAUCGACGGCGGUGUUUGGCACCUCGAUGUCGGCUCAUCACAUCCUGGGGCUGAAGUAGGUCCCAAGGGUAUGGCUGUUCGCCAUUUAAAGUGGUACGCGAGCUGGGUUUAGAACGUCGUGAGACAGUUCGGUCCCUAUCUGCCGUGGGCGCUGGAGAACUGAGGGGGGCUGCUCCUAGUACGAGAGGACCGGAGUGGACGCAUCACUGGUGUUCGGGUUGUCAUGCCAAUGGCACUGCCCGGUAGCUAAAUGCGGAAGAGAUAAGUGCUGAAAGCAUCUAAGCACGAAACUUGCCCCGAGAUGAGUUCUCCCUGACUCCUUGAGAGUCCUGAAGGAACGUUGAAGACGACGACGUUGAUAGGCCGGGUGUGUAAGCGCAGCGAUGCGUUGAGCUAACCGGUACUAAUGAACCGUGAGGCUUAACCUU